RNAcentral lists this transfer RNA (87 nucleotides) under Chloroflexota bacterium. Its description in RNAcentral is "Chloroflexi bacterium (groundwater metagenome) tRNA-Leu". It matches the Rfam family "tRNA". Rfam says of the family: Transfer RNA (tRNA) molecules are approximately 80 nucleotides in length. Their secondary structure includes four short double-helical elements and three loops (D, anti-codon, and T loops). Lineage: Bacteria; Bacillati; Chloroflexota. The record is from RNAcentral.
GGGCAAGUGGCGAAAUCGGUAAACGCAGCGGACUUAAAAUCCGCCGGUGGCGACACCGUGUGGGUUCGACUCCCACCUUGCCCACCA